Molecule: transfer RNA, 69 nt
Filed under: Perkinsus olseni
Lineage: Eukaryota; Perkinsozoa; Perkinsida; Perkinsidae
Description: tRNA-Ile
Rfam family: tRNA
About the family: Transfer RNA (tRNA) molecules are approximately 80 nucleotides in length. Their secondary structure includes four short double-helical elements and three loops (D, anti-codon, and T loops).
Source: RNAcentral
UUAGCUCAGUCGGUUAGAGCAUCGUGCUAAUAACGCGAGGGUCGCAGGUUCGAGCCCUGCAUCGACCAU